GGCCCUCUGGCGCAAUGGUAGCGCGUUCGACUCCAGAUCGAAAGGUUAUCCGUUCAAAUCGGGUGGGGGUCA
Parathielavia hyrcaniae is the source of this 72-nucleotide non-coding RNA. The record is from the annotation of a GenBank genome assembly. NCBI's taxonomy places the organism in Eukaryota, Fungi, Ascomycota, Sordariomycetes, Sordariales, Chaetomiaceae.